CCGCGGGGCACGCUCAUUGGUACGGAGCGCGCGACCCAACUCCGGGAGAGUCUGCCCGAGCACCCAGUGUCCAAACUCCGGCGGGCCGGAGCUGCUGGGCCGGCGCAGCUGGGGUUCCCGGCUCCGCGCUUCGGCCGGCAGAGUGAGUCUGCCGAGUUCCGCGGACGGAACCGGGAGGAUAUGAGACCUGCCCUUGAAGCCCGUUCGCGUUUCCCUAAUGAAUAGAGGGCAAAACAGCUGGAGAAGCAGCCUUAUUGCUCAAAAGGAAGUGUUGAUACAUCUUGGAGCUUUGAGCGUGGGAGAUGACGGGCCCAGCUUUAUGCCACUUAAAGUGGUAACAUGGUUGAUGGGUAGACCCUGUACGGCAAGAUGGUAUUGUUACUGAAACGGCCAUGGGCUGGAUAUGUGUGAGAAGAUAAGCCCACUUACCAGGUUCUAAGGCAAAGUCCAAAGUGGCUUGACUAAGAUGAGACGGAAAGAGCAGAAAGAGAACAGACCAAGGAGACUUCGAUCAGCUCAUUCUUUAAGGGAAGUUUCAGCAAAUGUUCACCAAGAUUAGCCAAUGGGAUUGAGAGGAGAAGACCCUCAAGUAAGUAGUGUGGAAACAGCAGUCAAACUGUGCUCUUGGAAUUUCUUUUUUACUGGUUCAAAUGUAACCCGCACAGCAGUGGGUAGGAAAUAGCCCUAAACUGCUACUCCCACCAGGAUUCCCCAGAAAGGAUGUUUAACUCCCAGAGUUAAACCUUAAGGCCUGUGUUUCUACGCUGGGGUGAAAAGGCCAAUUUCAGCUCACACCCCAAGAUGGAAGUCACUUUUUCUGCUCAAGAGAACGUAGUUCAAGGUUUCCCUCCUAUUACCACAGAACAAACAGAAAAUAGAACUGCCCAACUAGAGGGAAAAGAGAUUUUAUUGAAGAAAAAGGAAGUAAAUAAAUAAAAAUUCCCAUGUAAUAUGUAACCGAUGUCAGAUUUCUUUGCAGUGCUUAAUUUUAUACUUAAAGGGAGUUUGGGGCAGUCAUGUAAAAAGAAUGAUAACUUCCUGGUGGGAAAAAAAAAAGGACUGAAAGUCUAAAUGCAAGAUCCCAAAUAUCCUUGUGCUGGGGAGGUGUCACUACAACAAAAAGAUGUGUUUUGAUUCUACUGAAACACUGAUCACGGUAAGUUUUUACUCAUAAGACAUGGCUAGCAGCAGAGGGAAAACUAGCUCUCAUUUUUAUUCUAUGGAAAGCCUCGACUCUCUCACUGUCUAUCUCGUCCCCUUUCUCUUAUACUUUGCUCUCUCCCUCAGCUUUUUUUUUUUCUGUUUUCUCUUUCUCUUCUGUUUCCCUUCGUAUCACUUCUGUCCACUCCCACUUCUGUAAUCUUCUAGAAGUAUAAUGAUUUUUGUAGUGUUUUUCUGUAAGUCAUUGGGGCUCAGUCUAUUUAAGGGCCAUAUAUGGAAGGAAAUGUACACGUAAGGACGUAAAAUGAAAAAUAAGUCUUGUCUUCAUUGUGUGCAGAAGAAGAAACAUUUCAAAAUGACAUACUAAAAUUCCCACUCUGCCGUUCGUGGAUAUAUUGCCACAAGGCACCCUCUUCUUGACCUUCCCUAACCAACAAGCCAAGCUUGUUUCCGUAAAUUACCUGAUUGCUUGUUCAGCCAAAGCCAUGUUUGGCCACGGGGCUGCUCCCUCCUCCUAUGUCUUCCAUCCACACUACCUACCCCAGUCCCAAAUUUUCACAGCCUUGGACAAACCUUAGGACAGUCCUAUCCCUUCCAACUAAUAGCGGCCUAAUUCAUGAAGCUGAGUCAGCAGAUUUCAAGGGGCACUGCCAAGCCUAGCAGAUGACAUGCACAAAAACAGCAGAGAUUUUCCAAAUAAAGCAAAAGAGGAUUGUUAGACUGCCCCACAGCACAGGUGUCCCAAGUAUACCUUGCCCUCCUGGGCCUGUUCGUCUUAGAUUGAGUCCCUGCCCUUCCCCCACCCACUCUGCUCUGUUUCCCAGAUCAGUUGGCUUCUGGCUGGGUUCAGCCAAUGGGAGACACUGACUGGAGGAAGGACGAAGCCAGUGUGUCUCUCCUCUUUCCUUCCUGCUCUGGACUAUUUUCCCCCUACUUUUCUGCUUUAGACAGGACUCUGAGUUGACAAUCUGUUCCUCGGUUGUUUUUUCAGCCUCUUCCAUCUCCAGGGAAACCAGUUCCCUGAACUCCCUCUGUUUUCUGGGCAUAUACCCAGAGAAAACCAUAACUCAAAAAGACACACCC
Molecule: long non-coding RNA, 2244 nt
Organism: Aethalodelphis obliquidens (Pacific white-sided dolphin)
Lineage: Eukaryota; Metazoa; Chordata; Mammalia; Artiodactyla; Delphinidae
Exons: 4
Source: RefSeq, a predicted model, not a curated record